RNAcentral lists this ribosomal RNA (301 nucleotides) under uncultured bacterium. RNAcentral's name for it is "partial 16S ribosomal RNA". It matches the Rfam family "Bacterial small subunit ribosomal RNA", at positions 509 to 807 of the family's 1533-position model. The record is from RNAcentral.
CAGCCGCCACGGUAACACGUAGGGUGCAAGCGUUAAUCGGAAUUACUGGGCGUAAAGCGUGCGCAGGCGGUUAUAUAAGACAGAUGUGAAAUCCCCGGGCUCAACCUGGGAACUGCAUUUGUGACUGUAUAGCUAGAGUACGGCAGAGGGGGAUGGAAUUCCGCGUGUAGCAGUGAAAUGCGUAGAUAUGCGGAGGAACACCGAUGGCGAAGGCAAUCCCCUGGGCCUGUACUGACGCUCAUGCACGAAAGCGUGGGGAGCAAACAGGAUUAGAGACCCGGGUAGUCCCUGUCUCUUAUAC